CGCCGACGACACCACCAGCGUCGGCACCGUGCCCAGCCGCAGCUGCAUCACCGGCCCGUGGCGACGCGCCAGCUCGCGGAGGCUCCGGUGGGGCAGCGUGCCCAUGAUCUGAUGCAGGUUGUCCAGGACAGGCAGGACAGGCAGCCUCAGCAGUGGACCGGGCGGCAGGUGGAGGCGGCGGCCUUUGGUGGAGAAGAAGCUUCUUGUUGCAAGAUCGAGGCCGAGGAGAGGCAGAAGAAAUGUAAAGAAGAUGGCAGGGAGCUGCAGUUUCCAUUAUUGAGGCAUGCAUUCCAGGACAGGCAUAGGCAUGGCCACUGUUUCUUUUACUCCAAAUGAAAGCAAAAUAAUUAUAAUGUGAGCAUAUGCGUCUGUACCGUGCAAUUCAAAAAGAAAAAAGUUAGCUAGUAGAGCUCAUCAACUACUCCCUUCUAAGUCAAAUCUUGUUUGGCAGUUUGAGUGUUAUUUUGGUAUGCUCCAUCCAUGUAAGAGCAUAGCUAUGUUUAUGUUUGUCCUAAGUCAUACACUUUUAUUUUUGAUGGAUAAUAGCUCUAAAAAUUAUUUAUUUUAAAUAUAAAAAUUGCAUAUUAUGAUAGUAUGUGUACGAUUAUCCUGAAUCAAACUACUCUGAAAACUAUGGUGAACUACAGUUUCAAAUGAGGGCUUGGAUACAAUGUAUUCAGAUGUGAAAAAGUAUAUAAAUAUAUACAAGUAGCAGGCUAUACAUUUUUGUUUUGUUUUUAGAUGGUUGCUGCAAUUGAUUACCACAAACUUUUGGAGAUCCCACAUCAUAUAUAUCUCACAAAUGAUCGGAUUUAUUUAGAUAUUACAAGUGUCUUGGAUCCAUAAGCGGUGGUCUUGGUAAUAUAAGCUGGUCAUGACUCAUGAUCUCUGCCACUUGUACGUGGUCGGCACAAGCACGAGGGGGACCUUCUUGUUGACGGUGAGCCCUCCUGCCUCUUCCAUGCUCACAUCCUCCACCGUCAUACCAUCUGGGAGCUCCCACUCGAAGCAGUGGAGCAGGUUGGCCAGCGUGAACUCUACUAUCGCCACCCCCAUGGCCACUCCAGGGCACAUCCUACGUCCUGCGCCGAAUGGCAGAAGCUCGAAAUGCGCCCCAUUGAAGUCGACACCAUCCCCCUCAAACCUAUCCGGGUCAAACUCCUUGGGGUUGCUCCAGAUUGCAGGGUCUCUGCCAAUUGCCCAGACGUUUACAAAGAUCCUUGUCCUGGCAGGCACAUCGUAUCCGCAGAUCUUGAUGUGUCGCAUGGUCUCUCUCGGAGCUAGAAGCGGUGCCACCGGGUGUAGCCGUAGCGUCUCCUUUACCACCAUCUUUUACCACCAUCUUAAGGUACUUGAGUUUCGGCAAGUCGUCCGGCUCUACCCUCUCUUUGUUGCCCACCGCUCCUCUGAUCUCGUCUUGUGCCUUCUUAAGAACCUCCGGGUUUCGAAUCAGUUCGGCCAUUGCCCAGACCACCGUGACCGAGUUCGUGUCAACUCCACCAGUGAACGUAUCCUGAAAAAUUGUACGUAUGCAUAACGGUUAUAAAUGAAAUAAUAUAUAUAGCUCCAUAAAUCCUAUUUUGUACUGUAAAUUUAUGAGCUCUUUUACGGUACACAAUACUAUUGUACUUAGUAGUAUAUAAUAUAUAUAAGAUCUAAAUAUUUAUGAUUAUGGAUGAUUUAGUAAUUAUUACAUGUGAAAAGUGAUAUUUCAAACGGAAUGGCCUUUUAAACUUGAUGCUAGUGUCAAAAAUAAAAUUUUAGUGAUGUCAUUUGUGUUCUUUUACCAUGAUACUCUUAUACUACAUAUACUACUCAUGUAUACUACUCAUACCACACGUGAAGAUUUCGGUAGUAUACAAUUAAUCUUGACUGUCGGAUAUUUAUAUACUAGUCUUUUUUAACACUAGUAUAGCCUAGUGUUGUGUACCGUAAAAGAGCUUAAAUUUUAUAUGUUGAUGACGUUGCGUACCGAUAACAUUCCCUUGAUGUGGUCUCUAGUGAACCAACUGAAAGUGCCCUCGUGCUCCUUGGUGAGGCCAAUAAGGAUGUCGAUGAAGCCAGGCCCGUUGUCCGGUGUGGGGCGGGACGGCUGGAGGUGGGUGUCGAUAAUCCUGUCGAAGAAAGUGUCGAGCUCCCAAAAUACCUUCUCACGGCGGGAGACGAGGCCGGUGAGAUGGUCCACAAGGCGACCCAAGACGUUGGGGAAGUAGUCCUCAGCGGAGAAGCUGCUCUUUACAGCCAUGGCCUCAUCGAACAGAUCGUGGAAGUGCUUCUUGUGUGCAAACUGCUCUGAACCGUAUAUGCUCCCAAGUGCCACCGUGCUGACAAUGCCGUCCAUGAGCGUGAAGAUGUGAUCCUCCAGGUACACUGGUCUCCGUCCUCCGCUGGUUAAGCGGCCGAUGAGUUUGUCCACCUCAGCUUCCCUGGCUGGCCAGGUGGCCUGGACGCGGCGCGCGUUGAGGAGCUCGACGACGAUGAGCUUGCGCAUCUCGCGCCAGCAGUCGCUGUAGGGCGUGAACGCCACGUCCUUGUAGCCGUACGACAACCGCCGCGCCCCCGGCGUGUCCGGCCGGGUGCAGCACGCGGCGUCGUGCGUCUUCAGCACCUCCCUCGCCGCCUCCGCCGACGACACCACCAGCGUCGGCACCGUGCCCAGCCGCAGCUGCAUCACCGGCCCGUGGCGACGCGCCAGCUCGCAGAGGCUCCGGUGGGGCAGCGCGCCCAUGAUCUGAUGCAGGUUGCCCAGCAGGGGCGGGCCUACAUGUAUUCAAGGGUAUUCAACUGAAUACCCAUUAUUUUUGCAAAAAAAAUUUAUAUAUAGUGUAUUCCAUGGGUAUGUAUCAAAAAGCCAAAAAUAAACAGGCUAACGUAAACCAAAAAAGCCCAUAGGAACCUGCCUGGUCCGCUCCUUCCCUCCUCUACCGCAGUCUUGACCCAACAGCUCAUUUUCUCACAAGCUCAAUUUGGUCAUUCCCCUUCCUCCACUGGAUCGCAGGCUCACAGCCACACACAUAGCGCUCCAUUCCUUUGCUGAUCUACACCUCCCCUCUCCUCUCUGAGCUUCGGUAAUUUGGCAAAGCAAGUCACGGCAUCGAACCAUCAACACUUCUACAGACUACGCGACUUCAGCAACAUAUUGAGAUGAGCAUUUGCAAUUGUUUAUGAAAUUUAUGACAAUGUGAUAGCAGUAGCAGGCAGUGAGCACUCUCUAAAAUUUGUGUAUUUUUAUUUUAGUCUGAAACAUGAAGAGAAAGAAUAGUACAAGUACUGAUUUGAGAUGUUGUAUUGAUCAUUUAGUACAUCUAUAUUGAUGUCAAUUUCUAGAUUAUGUGUUAUGAAUCUGCACUUUAAGCUGUAAAAAAAUUCACCCUUCGAAAAUUUUGAAUACCCAUUCCCAAAAUCCUGAGCCCGCUCCUAUUGCCCAGGACAGGCAGCCUCAGCAGUGGACCGGGCGGCAGGUGGAGGCGGUCCCCUUUGGUGGAGAAGAAGCUUAUUGUUGCAAGAGCGAGGGCGAGGAGAGGGAGAAGAAACGUAAAGAAGAUGGCAGGGAGCUGCAGUUUCCAUUGUCGAGGCAUGCAUUCCAGGACAGGCAAAGGCAUGGCCACUGUUUCUUUUACUCCAAAUGAAAGCCAAU
Molecule: long non-coding RNA, 3637 nt
Filed under: Setaria viridis
Lineage: Eukaryota; Viridiplantae; Streptophyta; Magnoliopsida; Poales; Poaceae
Description: long non-coding RNA (SVIR_LNC010045)
Source: RNAcentral